Long non-coding RNA from Oncorhynchus tshawytscha (Chinook salmon), 745 nucleotides. Lineage: Eukaryota; Metazoa; Chordata; Actinopteri; Salmoniformes; Salmonidae. The record is from Ensembl.
GGCCAGUGAAGGAGUGAGUGAAAACCACAGGGUGGAAAACCACACUGUCCUUCGUCAUCGGGUUGGAGUCUCCCGUCAUAUCGUCAGACAUCGUCAGUGCUCGGAGUACACCAUGCGACCACUGAUAAGCAGGGAGAUCGGGAAGAACAGUGGGGAAAACAGGAUCUAGUGCCUAAAGAGUACCAGGAAUGUUAUUUUCUGAUUCUCUGUAUUCUAGAACGUCAGCAACCACAUUUCCAUCCACAGUUUCUGUGCGACCUACUGCACCAGCUCCCAAUCUGAAACCAAAGACCCAGUACACGUUUCUGCCUCAUGCCUGACGCCCCCUCCUCCUCCUCACGCCUUUAUUUUAACAGAUGAAACUGAACAAUGUCAUUAGAACAGAAGCGAGAAAGACAGACAGAUGGAGACCAAUCUGUAUUAUCGUCAAACAACUUGCUGUUUUCCAAGAAAUCUGUGGUCUCACAGGAGGAGAAGGGGAGAGAAAAGUAUACGGGGAGAGAAAGAUAGACGAGAGAGAAAGAGAGAUGAGAGGAAAGAUAGGAAGAGAGAGGGAGAUGUUGAAAGAUGUAGAGAGAGAAACAGAGAGAGCAUAGGCUCAAUAUGUUGAAACGUGCGCCAGACAACCAGCGAAACGGUCGGUUCAGACCGACCAGGAUGGUUGCCAUGGCAACCAUUACCAGGCUCUCUCGCACUGUUGCUUUGUUGCUGUGAAGCCUUUGGAGGGAAACGACUGACUACGAGA